GACGAACGCUGGCGGCGUGCUUAACACAUGCAAGUCGAGCGGUAAGGCCCUUUCGGGGGUACGACGAGCGGCGAACGGGUGAGUAACACGUGGGUGACCUGCCCUCCAGCUCUGGGAUAAGCCUGGGAAACUGGGUCUAAUACCGGAUAUGACUCCAUGACGCAUGUUGUGGGGUGGAAAGCCUUGUGCGGCUGAGGAUGGGCCCGCGGCCUAUCAGCUUGUUGGUGGGGUGAGGCCUACCAAGGCGACGACGGGUAGCCGGCCUGAGAGGGCGACCGGCCACACUGGGACUGAGACACGGCCCAGACUCCUACGGGAGGCAGCAGUGGGGAAUCUUGCGCAAUGGGCGAAAGCCUGACGCAGCGACGCCGCGUGAGGGAUGACGGCCU
Molecule: ribosomal RNA, 389 nt
Filed under: uncultured bacterium
Lineage: Bacteria
Description: bacterial SSU rRNA
Rfam family: Bacterial small subunit ribosomal RNA
Source: RNAcentral